This 1337-nucleotide long non-coding RNA is filed under the name Capra hircus (goat). Its description in RNAcentral is "lncRNA (ENSCHIG00000006989.1)". The record is from RNAcentral. Lineage: Eukaryota; Metazoa; Chordata; Mammalia; Artiodactyla; Bovidae.
AGGGACUGGGUCACAGAGAAGAUACUGCAUGACAGACCGACCAGCAUUCACCUGGCGUGGUAUCUAUUCUGUGUGCUUUGUUAUUUAGCUACUUUGAGGUCUUGUGUUUGACUAAAAUCAUGCCCAAAGUCUCAACAGAAGCCUCAUUGUGUAGGAAACCCACGUCCACUACAUAAAUUUCAAAUUUGCAAAGAACACCAGCAUGUCAGUCAGAUAUGCACUCAAAGUAUGCUCCUAGAUUGAACGAGGUUUUUUUUUUUCUUGUCUUUCUCUCUCCAUUCCCCUCCGCCUCCCCAGACCAACUGAAGUGAGAUAAACAGACCACAGUAGCUGGUUUUCUCCACAUCGUAUGAGGAAGAUGAAAACAUGAACAGUGGGAAGCUGGCAAAUCUCUGAGAACUUUUGGGGCAGCUGGGAAUUAAUGGACAGGACGUUGCUUUUUAGCUUGAAGAGGAAGAAAGCAGCCUUGGUAAAUGCGUGGCGUUGCUAGGCAACCCCAAGCUACCCCCAGCACAAGUUCAUUCUGCUGGUGGCCUUCCGAGGAGAUUUCCUUGGAGGGAGCGAGUACUCUGAGAUGGAGAUGUGGGUUUUCCUUAUUGUGGAUUAAUCAAUGGCCAUCUUGGAUUUUUGGAAAAGACCCCAAUGCUCCAAUGCUGGGAGAGAUUGAAGGCAGGAGGAGAAGAGAUAUCACCAUGGUAUCACCAUCACAAUGGACAUGAAUUUGAGCAAACUCCCAGAGAUGGUGAAGGACAGGGAAGCCUGGCAUGCUGCAGUUUAUGGAGUCACAAAGAGUUGGACACGACUUAGUGACUGAACAACAACAAUCUUGCAUUUGCAGGUGGUUUAGGGCAGUGUGAGGGUGUCAGUCUGGAGCCUGACCCACCCUGUUGUAAUGAGAAGCUGAUGGUGCGCCAGGAGGAUCCUGCCUGUGAAGCCGCAUGUGACGACCUGCCUGAGUGACUUGGUGGUCCCCAGUCAACAGUGAUGCCCUUGGAGUCUUGUUCUAUCUUUCGCUCUUGAUGAGUUUAGCGUGUAGGACUCACAGAGUGAAAGGACUUCUACGGGAGGAAUCCCAGUCUAACAUCAACAAACACAGAAGGAUACAGUGUGCCAACUUCUGGAAUACAUUCAUGAGUUUUCUUUCAUUCAUUUGGUCAGUAUAUGUUGUGGUGGUGGUGGUGUAGUCUCGAAGCCAUGUCCAACUCUUCGUGAUCCCUCGGACUGUAGCCCACCAGGUUUCUCUGUCCAUGGAAUUCCCCAGGCAAGAAUACUAGUGGGCUGCCAUUUCCUUCUCCAGGGAUCAAACCUGCAUCUCCUGCACUGGAGGCAGAUUCUUU